This 707-nucleotide ribosomal RNA is filed under the name Acinetobacter baumannii. Its description in RNAcentral is "bacterial SSU rRNA". It matches the Rfam family "Bacterial small subunit ribosomal RNA", at positions 42 to 744 of the family's 1533-position model. Lineage: Bacteria; Pseudomonadati; Pseudomonadota; Gammaproteobacteria; Moraxellales; Moraxellaceae. The record is from RNAcentral.
GCGAAGGUUACCAUGCYGUCGAGCGGAGAGAGGUAGCUUGCUACUGAUCUUAGCGGCGGACGGGUGAGUAAUGCUUAGGAAUCUGCCUAUUAGUGGGGGACAACAUUUCGAAAGGAAUGCUAAUACCGCAUACGUCCUACGGGAGAAAGCAGGGGAUCUUCGGACCUUGCGCUAAUAGAUGAGCCUAAGUCGGAUUAGCUAGUUGGUGGGGUAAAGGCCUACCAAGGCGACGAUCUGUAGCGGGUCUGAGAGGAUGAUCCGCCACACUGGGACUGAGACACGGCCCAGACUCCUACGGGAGGCAGCAGUGGGGAAUAUUGGACAAUGGGCGCAAGCCUGAUCCAGCCAUGCCGCGUGUGUGAAGAAGGCCUUAUGGUUGUAAAGCACUUUAAGCGAGGAGGAGGCUACUUUAGUUAAUACCUAGAGAUAGUGGACGUUACUCGCAGAAUAAGCACCGGCUAACUCUGUGCCAGCAGCCGCGGUAAUACAGAGGGUGCAAGCGUUAAUCGGAUUUACUGGGCGUAAAGCGCGCGUAGGCGGCUAAUUAAGUCAAAUGUGAAAUCCCCGAGCUUAACUUGGGGAAUUGCAUUCGAUACUGGUUAGCUAAAGUGUGGGRAGAAGAUGGUAAAAUUCCAGGUGUAGCGGUGAAAUGCGUAAAAAUCUGGAGGAAUACCGAUGGCGAAAGGAGCCAUUUGGCCUAACAUGAC